UACGUAGGGUGCGAGCGUUGUCCGGAAUUACUGGGCGUAAAGGGCGCGUAGGCGGCACGGCAAGUCAGGAGUGAAAGGCCUGGGCUCAACCGAGGAACUGCUUUUGAGACUGCCGAGCUAGAGUGCAGAAGGGGCAACUGGAAUUCCCAGUGUAGCGGUGAAAUGCGUAGAUAUUGGGAAGAACACCUGAGGCGAAGGCGGGUUGCUGGGCUGACACUGACGCUGAGGCGCGAAGGCCAGGGGAGCAAACGGG
Molecule: ribosomal RNA, 253 nt
Filed under: uncultured bacterium
Lineage: Bacteria
Description: partial 16S ribosomal RNA
Rfam family: Bacterial small subunit ribosomal RNA
Source: RNAcentral